This 440-nucleotide ribosomal RNA is filed under the name uncultured bacterium. RNAcentral describes it as "partial 16S ribosomal RNA". It matches the Rfam family "Bacterial small subunit ribosomal RNA", at positions 339 to 795 of the family's 1533-position model. The record is from RNAcentral.
CUACGGGUUGCAGCAGUAGGGAAUUUUGUGCAAUGGGCGAAAGCCUGACGCAGCAACACCGCGUGUGGGAUGAAGCUUUUCGGAGUGUAAACCACUGUCAGUGGGGACGAAAUAUGACGGUACCCACAGAGGAAGCAUCGGCUAACUACGUGCCAGCAGCCGCGGUAAGACGUAGGAUGCAAGCGUUGUCCGGAAUUAUUGGGCGUAAAGCGUUCGUAGGUGGCCUGUCAAGUCUGAUGUUAAAGCCCGGAGCUCAACUCCGGUUCAGCAUUGGAUACUGGCAAGCUAGAGUGCAGGAGAGGCAAGGGGAAUUCCUAGUGUAGCGGUGAAAUGCGUAGAUAUUAGGAGGAACACCGGUGGCGAAAGCGCCUUGCUGGACUGUAACUGACGCUGAGGGACGAAAGCCAGGGGAGCAAAUGGGAUUAGAUACCCUAGUAGUC